RNAcentral lists this ribosomal RNA (253 nucleotides) under uncultured bacterium. RNAcentral describes it as "partial 16S ribosomal RNA". It matches the Rfam family "Bacterial small subunit ribosomal RNA", at positions 524 to 776 of the family's 1533-position model. The record is from RNAcentral.
GACGAACCGAGCGAACGUUGUUCGGAAUCACUGGGCUUAAAGGGCGCGUAGGCGGGUCAGCAAGUCCGGGGUGAAAUCUUUCGGCUUAACCGGAAAAGUGCCUUGGAGACUGCUGAUCUUGAGGGAGGUAGGGGCAUGUGGAACUUCCGGUGGAGCGGUGAAAUGCGUUGAUAUCGGAAGGAACGCCGGUGGCGAAAGCGACGUGCUGGCCCUCUUCUGACGCUGAGGAGCGAAAGCGUGGGGAGCGAACAGG